UGUUCUUUAAUGAUGUGGUUUUAUGACGUGAAAUUCACGUUUGCAACGUGAAAAAACAUGUCAUUAAUUAUUUAAAUUAUUAAUCGUAUGUUUUUCAUAAGAAAUUUUGAAAUUUAAAAAAAAAUAAAAUCAUUAUGACAUAAAUAUUACGUUGCUAUUUAAAUUUUAAAAAAAAUAUCUGAAUGAGAAAAAUUUGAUUAAUAGAAUGAAUUUGACUAACAUUUAUAAGGUAGUGUCAUAGUUUUCACGUCACUAAUAAACAAAUGAAAUUCACAUCAUAAUUCUAAAUUAGUGAUGCAAAUUUAAUGACGCAAUAAACUCUAUUUAUUAGGCUUAAGCGCUUU
Molecule: long non-coding RNA, 344 nt
Filed under: Lathyrus oleraceus (garden pea)
Lineage: Eukaryota; Viridiplantae; Streptophyta; Magnoliopsida; Fabales; Fabaceae
Description: Pisum sativum (pea) long non-coding RNA (PSAT_LNC041191)
Source: RNAcentral